AUCCCCUGGAGCCAGUAUGUGUGUGAUGUGUGUGUGUGAUGUGUGUGUGUGUUACGUAACCGUGUUCAGUUGUAGAAAAUAAUUUUUGGUCAUGUGUCAGGGUAGCAGAGUAUAAAAUAUCCUACAAAGUGAAGAACAGCUAGAAGACAGUACCUCAUAGCGUCAGUCUCAAUACAGACCUGUACAACAUCAUCAUGGUGUCUGUGUGUGUCUGUUACUCUGUAGAAGAGCGUUAGGAAGCAUGCAAGGUCAAGGGUUAGGGGUUAGGGUGCUAACGCCAUACAACUAGAAUGAUUAGAACACACAUCGCAUCACCAUUCCAUGUUCUGAGCCCAUUCAUGUGGGAUGUUGGAUUGACAUCAGAGUUGUGUCUCCAUGGUGAUACCAUUGUCUGGCUGGGUGUUCUGUUCAUUCCAGCUGUACGGGCUAAAGAAGGAAACCCUGAUUGGUGAUUCUAUCUAAUCUCAGCCCUCUGGCUAGCUAACUGCUAGUGUGGCGACUAGAGAGCCAUCAGUCCUAGUGCAAUAUGUGUUUGGUAGGGGUUAUCCCUGGUAGAGAGAGGGGAGAGCUGGGGGUUAUCCCUGGAAGAGAGAGGGGAGAGCUGGGGGUUAUCCCUGGUAGAGAGAGGGGGGAGCUGGGGGUUAUCCCUGGUAGAGAGAGGGGAGAGCUGGGGGUUAUCCCUGGUAGAGAGAGGGGAGAGCUGGGGGUUAUCCCUGGUAGAGAGAGGGGAGAGCUGGGGGUUAUCCCUGGUAGAGAGAGGGGGGAGCUGGGGGUUAUCCCUGGUAGAGAGAGGGGAGAGCUGGGGGUUAUCCCUGGUAGAGAGAGGGGAGAGCUGGGGGUUAUCCCUGGUAGAGAGAGAGCGGGGAGAGGAUCUCUCUCUCAGAAGAACCAAAUAGCGGGUUUAGAGCCCAGCCAAGGCUGUGUCAGAGGAGAGGAGGGAUCAGAAGUUAGAGGUCAUCACUCCAGACAUCCAGAUGAACAUCCUACCCAGUCCCAGGGUACACAGAGCAGUCUAUCAGUCUCUCUGUAUGGUUCAGCUCUUUUCCUGUACAACCUCUCCUCUCCUCUCCUCUCUCCUCUCCUCUCCUCUCCUC
RNAcentral lists this long non-coding RNA (1094 nucleotides) under Salmo salar (Atlantic salmon). Its description in RNAcentral is "lncRNA (ENSSSAG00000095878.1)". The record is from RNAcentral. Lineage: Eukaryota; Metazoa; Chordata; Actinopteri; Salmoniformes; Salmonidae.